RNAcentral lists this long non-coding RNA (220 nucleotides) under Olea europaea (common olive). Its description in RNAcentral is "long non-coding RNA (OEUR_LNC002124)". Lineage: Eukaryota; Viridiplantae; Streptophyta; Magnoliopsida; Lamiales; Oleaceae. The record is from RNAcentral.
UUCAAUUCCCUCACAAUGGUAAACACUUAGACCUGGAACUUGAUUGAAUUGUUACUUCAAACUGGAAGGAAUGGGUAUAAAAUUUUAAUAUUUUAAACAGAUUCUUUUCUUCCUUCUUGCCCUUGUUCUUCUCUGAUGGCAAUCCUCUUCCUUCUUGGGCUCCUCUGGUACGGUGGUAUGACGGAAUUGAUGAUUUUAUUUCAAAAAAUCAAAGUUUCAC